RNAcentral lists this long non-coding RNA (1411 nucleotides) under Sus scrofa (pig). RNAcentral describes it as "lncRNA (ENSSSCG00030049973.1)". The record is from RNAcentral. Lineage: Eukaryota; Metazoa; Chordata; Mammalia; Artiodactyla; Suidae.
CUCCCAGGGCUCUCUCCCCUGGCAGGCAUGAUAACAGCUCUGUGCAGUCAGGAGAAGAAAGGAACUGAUGCAUGCAGAGUACCUAGGAGGGCACUUGAUGCAUGCUUGGCGUUUGGUGAACCUUCCUGCCCCACUACCAUCUCUGAGCCAGAGGCUGGGGCAGAGUCGAUGGCUAAAGACUUCAUUAAAACAUCCUUUUCAGAAGGAAGGAAGAGAAAGAAAAAAGAAAGAAGGAAGGAAGGAAGGAAGGGAGGGAGGAAGGAAGGAAGGAAAGAAGGAAAGAAGGAAGGAAAUGGUUUUGCAGUCAGAAGACCCAGACCAAGUCACUUUACCGCUCUGGAGUCUUGUUUUCCUCAUCUCCCAGAGUGACUGUCAGAAUAUAUGCAAUACAUUCAGUAAUAGUCUAACAGUGCACGUGAAGUCUCUCACAGGUGGAUGUGCUAAAAACAAAGCAUGCUGUCUUCUCCACUUGCCCCUCCAGCUGGGCUCUCCUUUCUCUACCUGGGGAGGCAUCUGGGCUUCUCUGCUCUCUGGCUUCAACUUGGAAUUGGCUGAUGGAAGCGCUGGCGAAGAUUGGUGUCUAAAGGAAGAGAGAGGGGUUGGGUGUUUAUCACCCUGGCUCCCUUUCUCCUGCCGGGCUGAGUUGACUGUGUUGAGUUCAUUUACUUAAGGCCCCAGCUCCUUUCCUGCACUCCUUCCCCACUCCUUCAGGGCUGUGGCUAGUCCCUGGGUGCUCCUCAACCCUAACCCUUCCAACCCCUUCAGAGGGCUCUCUGCUUCCUGCUGGAACCCCCCACUGCAGAAAGAAGGUCCCGAUAGCCUAAAGGAUAGACCAGCUUUGGGGAAGUCUUCAGAGGUGCAGGGGUGAGAGCCCAGCUGGGAGAGGAGUCUGCAGUGCUGCCUGUCCAGCCGAGCCCUGUGGAGAGCAGCCCUAGUUGAGGCCUUGCUGCCCCAAUCUUCCUCCUGAAUUUUUCAAGAUCAAGGUCUUGUCUAGCCAACUUUGUUCUACCAGCCCAGGUGUCCAGGCUCUAGGACCCUGACUCACACUAGUAAACUCAUCCUGGACCAACUGAUAUGCCCCAAACUAGCAUACUCAUUGAUCCUGAGAAAGAUACAGGCUGAGUAGCAGGAAUCCUGAGGUCAACUGGUCAGGAGCUUCUCUUUCAGGAAUCAGUAGUAUUAUUAUUAAUAAUAACAGUGACCAGAUACUGAGUGCCUACUAUGUGUCUAGAAACUAGGACUUUCAUUCCUUCAUUCAGCAAAUAUUUAUGAAGGGUCUACUAGGAGUUCCCUGGUAGCUCAGUGGGUUAAGGAUCUGAUGUCACUGCUGUGGCUCGAGUUCGAUCCCUGGCCCAGGAACUUCUGUAUGCCACAGAUGCAGCCCAAUAAAAAGGGGGUCUACUAUAUGCCA